Molecule: ribosomal RNA, 492 nt
Filed under: uncultured bacterium
Lineage: Bacteria
Description: partial 16S ribosomal RNA
Rfam family: Bacterial small subunit ribosomal RNA
Source: RNAcentral
AGUGAACGCUGGCGGUAGGCCUAACACAUGCAAGUCGAACGGCAGCACAGUAAGAGCUUGCUCUUACGGGUGGCGAGUGGCGGACGGGUGAGGAAUACAUCGGAAUCUACUUUUUCGUGGGGGAUAACGUAGGGAAACUUACGCUAAUACCGCAUACGACCUACGGGUGAAAGCAGGGGAUCUUCGGACCUUGCGCGAUUGAAUGAGCCGAUUUCGGAUUAGCUAGUUGGCGGGGUAAAGGCCCACCAAGGCGACGAUCCGUAGCUGGUCUGAGAGGAUGAUCAGCCACACUGGAACUGAGACACGGUCCAGACUCCUACGGGAGGCAGCAGUGGGGAAUAUUGGACAAUGGGCGCAAGCCUGAUCCAGCCAUACCGCGUGGGUGAAGAAGGCCUUCGGGUUGUAAAGCCCUUUUGUUGGGAAAGAAAAGCAGCAGGUUAAUGCCUCGCUGUUCUGACGGUACCCAAAGAAUAAGCACCGGCUAACUUCGUG